AAGUCGUAACAAGGUUUCCGUAGGUGAACCUGCGGAAGGAUCAUUAACACGUAUCCACGUAACAACCAACGCGAAUUGUUUUCAUUCUCUCCCUCGCGUCGCAACCAAGCGCACGAGGCUAGAAAACAAACAUUUUCCACACACUUUUGCAAGUUGACUUUUUCUACGUGUAUCCUCGCGGAUACGCAUCGUUUAUUACAACAAACGAAGAAAACAACUCUUAGCAAUGGAUAUCUUGGUUCUC
Molecule: unclassified non-coding RNA, 244 nt
Filed under: fungal sp.
Lineage: Eukaryota; Fungi
Description: partial internal transcribed spacer region
Rfam family: Eukaryotic small subunit ribosomal RNA (bases 1-46)
Source: RNAcentral